Equus asinus (donkey) is the source of this 11928-nucleotide long non-coding RNA. The record is from Ensembl. Lineage: Eukaryota; Metazoa; Chordata; Mammalia; Perissodactyla; Equidae.
CGGGCAUCUCACUGUCCCUGCAUGCAACGCGCUCACUCUCAACCCUAAGCUUUUGCUCAUGCCACCAGGCCUUCACCUCACCUAGGCAAUCCUACCGAUGCCCUGGGACACAGUCUAGAGGGGCCCACGGGGUCAGUGCAGACUAGAGUCCAAACCCCAGGCUGCUCUCAGUCAUCUGCUGCAUGCCCUGGACAAGACACUGACAUCUCUGGGUCCUCAUGUGUAAAGCAGGAUAAAACAGUAUCACCUAACUUGCAGGACUGACAAUGCAUCUAAACCCAUGCUUGGCAUAUAGUAAAUUCUCAAAAGCUCAUAGUUUAUUGUCCUUGCUUUCCCCAAACAUUGGAUUUACUGUCUGUGCCAUUCUGGUAUUUCAUUGCUUUUCUCGCCCCUUCCCCAACCAUUUUGUACAUUCAUAUUGUAUCUCCUGAAGCAGACGGGUUCCUGAGCAGGGACAAGGUCAUCUACUUCUACGAACCCAGACCCUGCCCCAAUACCCAGUACAGUUCAAUAUGUGGAGGAGGACCCAACAGAUGACAAAUUAAUGAACAAAUUAUUCCAGGAAGUCUAAAGAGUUGGUAAUAAGAAAAACAACGCAGAGCCAAGGAUGAGGCAGAGAGUAAGGAGAGAGAGCAGCAGUUGAAGCAGGAGCACUUGAGCAUAAGCAUGGACCCACACAGGCUCCCAUGGAGACUGUCCCUGGAGGAGAGGAAACCCAAAGUCUCAGCAGUCCAUCCAAGAGUCCUAAGCAUCGUCCAGGAGAGUACUGGCUGACACAGGUGCUCCCCGAGUGCCUGGCAGAACUCUAGAUGCUUACGACCACACAAACUAACACUAUUACACCACUGCACAGAUGAAGAAACUGAGGCCCAGGGAGGUUAAAGAACACACCUAAGGUCACACACCCUAAUAAACAGUGCAGUACAGUCUAGCUCCAGAGUUCAUGCUCUUCACCACCACAGACUUCGGGUUUUUAAUCUAAUGGAGCUCCCUCAUUUACCAGCUGAGAGGUCUCAGGCAAGUCAUUACCUCUCUGAGCCCCAUGUUUCCCAGCCUAAGUGGGCAUCAUAUACUGAAUCCAUAAGACUGCUGUAAAGGUUAAAAGAGAUCAUGUCACUGAGCGUAUUUAUAAAGCAGACUCCCGAUAAAUUCGUUCCCUUCCCAUCUUUCCCAUGCCUCAAUCUAAGUAAGGUUUUUAGCCACAUCUCUUGACCUCCUUUACUCUCAGGGAAUGAUCCAUACUCCACCCUGGACUUUCCUGCCUACUGCCUAUGCCCAAGCACGUGGACCUCAUAAAGCCUGCAGGGACAGCCUGGAGACCAGCAUGAAGGAAAGCUACUGCCCACGGAGCCGAGUGAGGGGCACAGAUGGAGAUGGCCCAGAUGACCGCUGGGUGCAAACAAACCGCAUGACAAAGGCUGGCCGGCCAGGUGCGGCCAGGACACACCCUGACCCAUAGCUGCAGCAGCACCUGGUCCUGUCUGCCAAAGCAGCAAGCCCGAGGACAGGCCUGGAAGCCUGGACAGGCAGAGCCCAGCAAUAUCUGUGGCUCAGAGGCUACACGUACGGUGGGGACAGAGAGGGCAGGGAAAGUGACAGGCAGUCAAUUCCACAAUGGUGGAAAAUCAGGCUGCCUGAAAAAGUUGUAUGUAGGAAAGUAAAAUUUUAAAUUCCAAGAGAAGGAAUUCUCUUGCAAAAUCCCUUUACUGUGAAGAAUUAAAUUUAAAGCCAAGAAGUACAGAGACACUAUUAUGUUCUGAAAGUCAAUGCACAUUUCCACACAUCAAGUUUGUUAAAGUGAGCGAUACACUGAAGGUGAUGAACCCUUCUCUGGGGUCACUGUUCAUGGACAGAGAGAAUUUUUCACUUGCAGCAUGUGAAAGAGUCCUAAAUGUUAUCACCAAAUGGAGUCAAUUCAAUUAAUAUAGCAGGGAGCAGAGGUCAAAAGAUGCUUAACUCAUUUUCAGGGGACAUAAGUAAUUUCUAUCUGAAUGGACCUGAUCAAAGUGAUCCAAAGGUCUUAUAAAACAAGAGACUAGAAUACUAGCAAAAACUGCAUCUCACUAAGGAUCUCGAGCAAGAAGUCCCACUGGGCAUCUCCCUACAAUAUAUCAGCUUGAAAUACAGCGCAUGACACAGAGCUACUUCAGGGAGAUGGAGGAGUGGGAGGGCUGGUAGACACCACUACGAGGCUACCACCAGGUUCCAAGGUCCCUGUAGGCACAAGAUUGUGGUCCUAGAGCUAGAAAAGAGCCUUAGAGGUAAUGUGGUCUAAUGUAAUUCCCAAAGCGUCAGUUCAGCAGCUCCAUGCCUGGGACUACUUUCACCCCUGCUAGAAAACCUAGACAGGGCACACCUGGGCAGCACCUCCUCUAGCAAGGGCCACUGGUCCCCGGAGCACCUGUACCUCCAGGCAAGCAGUGACUGUGCAAGAACAAGGGCGCCAAGCCCAAGCCUGACAGAUCCAGUGUGAUGAGCCUAAGGGGAGCCUGGCGAACGGGAGUGGCCCCACCCUUUCCUGCAACCAAGGUGCAGGACUGGUCCUCAGAGAGCAGCUGCACAGUGACCUUCUGUUUGCAAAAACUCAAAUAUUCCAGAAACAACAGCACAGGAAGUAGGUAAAUUCUAGAAAUUCUCAAUCUUAUGUGCGUGAAAUUAACAAACCGAAUCACAAAGAAACACUUUGCCAGUUAAUAUAAAUUUUCCUACCACUCCAUGUUCAGGGCUCGCUAGCCAGUUAAGUCACUUCUGACAACGUGGUUUUCUGCAUUUGUGUCUGCCUCCCCUAGAAAUACGGGGACCUCUUGUAGGUCUUGUAGGUGGACACCAUCUCAUUAUCUGGCACUUGCCUUACAUAUAAGCUGCUCAACAAAAAUGUGCUGAAAGAAAGUCUCAGAGUAAAACCUAAAGCUCAUAGGUUCAGAAAACCUGCCUGUUCCUGGCUCCCUGAGGCUGGCUGAGGCUCAGGCCCACAGUGUGCAGUGCAUCCUGAGGCUGAUUCAAGUUGCUAUCUCAGGAAUUUCUUUCCCCUGCUCCAUACUGUCCUUUUCUUUCCCGUUUCUUCUUCCUGUAGCUCCCUCAACAUUCCACCUUAAAGCGAGGUAAACACACAGGAUUUCGAGUCAUCCAGCCUCUGCAAUUUACUGGGUUUAUGAAUCUUCGCCUCUCUGGAACAGUUUCUCUGCUGUAAACGGGAGUGAUGGUACUCCCCCAAGACUAGAAAUGUGUGCGUACAGAGCACUUGGCAUGCAUCUAGCCCAUGGGAACACUCAAUAAGUGACAGCCAUCAUAAUAUAACCGUCCACAGGACCCACUGGUCUAAAGGUGCUUAAAAUGCCAAAGGCAAAAAGUUGAUCUUUUUUCCCUCCCUUUGCAAGUCUGGUUUUGAGAAAAGCUAUCCAUUUUGGAACAAACUGACACAUGCCCAUGUCACUAGUUAAAAUACUUCCCUUUUCCUUUUUUACAGGGAAAUAAAUGACUCCAACCAGUCAUGACCAAAAUGGGUAAAAGGUUCUCUUCCAAACAGAGGUCAGGACCUUAAACUAGCUUGUUUAAACAACUAAACUAACUAAAUAAAUACAAUGAAAAGGAUCCACGGAGCAGCUGAGCUGGGGCCAUGAGGGCUGUCCUAUCAGAACCCCAUGCCAAGAAAGAGGAGAGGAGGGAAGGUGAAGGGAUCCACACCUUUUCUGGGAGCACAGCUGUAAUCAACACUCUCUCCAGAGUCCAUGGCGCAGCCCCUGGGUCACUAAGACCCUCGCAUGGUCCUGAGCGCCCCUCUGAGAAGCCCACCGGGGCCUGUGUUCUCCAAAUGCUUCACGCUUACCUCCCCUGACUCCACCCCAACUCUCAGGGAAUAUGCCAGUUAACCUAAACGCAUCUCUCUGGUGGCAUUUCAGACAGAUAACUCAAAAGGGAAGAGGGGAAAAUGUGAAACGGUGGAGGGGAGGCUGGAAGAGAGGAAGGGGUGAUGCCCAGGAUGGAGAUAACCCUGAUAGGAGUAAGUCUGCCCAAGUCAGCUGCCCUAACUGGUCUGUGAGAGCACAACUAGUCUGAACCCUGACUCUACCACCUUCUAACUGAGACACUCAGAAAGUCACGAGCUUUCUGUGCCUCAGCCUCCUCAUGUAUAAAGCGAGGAUCAUGACAGCACCCCCUCUCAGGCUGCUGUGAGCACCGAGUACACACAUGCAGACAUUCAGAACAGAGCCCAGUACACAGCCAAUUGUCUCUAAGUGUCUGUGGCUGUCAUCACUGCUAAGGUCAUUAUCAUCAUGAUGCUCCUUCCCCACUGCCUUUCCUUUCCACUCACAAGCCAACACAUCUCAAUCACAACAAGGCAGCUGUGCUUGGAGGCAGAGACAUGGAGGGAAGGCAGGGAGGAGUGUGGUUGGGACCUUUAAAGGCUGGGGACAGCCUGCACUGAAGGUUUGUUGUCGUAACCCAGGGACUGCAGGCGCCAGGAGUAGGUCCUGCCUACUCGCAGCCUUCCCUGCGGACUGCUCUGGCCCUCCCGAGCUCCAGCACUGACACAGGGAAGGCCUCCCCGACUCAGCCUCCUCUCUACUCCAAUCAGCAACAGAAAAGAGGCGGGGCAGGAAAGAGGACAAGGCUGGGACCAAUCAAAGUUGCAUUUUGCCUUUUACAUAGUUAUUAUUUUAAAGCAGUUAAGGAAAAGUCAAUAAAAGCUACUAGUUAACCACUUGACCAUGCUGUCCCUCUCCUUCCAGAAUUAACCAGACCCGAUCCUUCACUAGACACAGAUCUCUGCAGACCUGUCUAAGGCAGAAGGACUCCUUCCCUGGCUUUCAAUCACACACCAACACACGCCUGGUCCUUCCUUCUAUGUGACAGACAUGGUGCAGGCACUAUGGAGGGAGGCACGGACACAGCUGCUCCUACGGAGGAACUGCUACCUAGCAGAAGCGCCCGCCCUUCCUGUUCCACCUGUCAGCAAGGGACAAACCAACAGUCCUACUUCUCCUCCUCUAAUCUGAUUAGCACCACUUUCUUUUAAGUUGUGACAAUUUUCUCUCCUCUGUGAAACUGACUCGUCAACGACAGAAAAAUCAACGAACUGCAGGGUUUGGGGCCAUAGCUUCCCUGUCUUACCCCCCAGUUUCUUGAUAACGACGACUAUAAGCCUGCUCAUCUAUAAAGAGAGCUAAAGCCACUCCAAGAAACAGCAAGUCACGUACAGCUGAGCCCCAGAGGGCCAGGGAUGCUGUUCUGUCCACUGGGGUAUCCCAAGCACCUCGGUGCCUGACACCAUCGACCGCUUCACCCACUUCCACAGGGUCAGAGCUGAGUUUUGAAAGGUAGAACCAAAGAUGCAGGAGGGGCGACUGCAGGGAAGGGAAGUCCACUAAGAGUCUAGGUAAGGGGGCCAGUCGGGUGGCGCAGCGGUUAAGUUCGCAUGCUCUGCUUCGGCAGCCCGGGGUUCGCCGGUUCGGAUCCUGGGUGUGGACAUGGCACCACUUGGCAAGCCAUGCUGUGGUAGGCGUCCCACAUAUAAAGUAGAGGAAGAUGGGUACGACGUUAGCUCAGGGCCAGUCUUCCUCAGCAAAAAAAGGAGGAUUGACAGCAGAUGUUAGGUCAGGGCUAAUCUUCCUCAAAAAAAAAGAAUCUAGGUAAGUUUCCAAACACCACCCUACCAUUCCCACAAUGUGCUGCAUUAUUUGUGGGAGCUGAAGACCCAAAAGGAAGCAGAUUUUCAACUUUGCCAUCUAGAGUAGAAACUGAGACCUUAUUUACUGCACAGAUUUUAGCCCAAAUGCCAUGCCUCCAGGUUUACAAUUUCAACCCACAGCUCAAGGUAAACAGCCUGCAUACUGGGGUGUCCCUGGGUUAGAAUAUCACAAAUUUCCUCUGUCCACAAACCAUCUCGAUUCUCUAGUCCCUAUCCUCCCCAUCUGGUCUUAUUAAAUACUUUGCACUCACCAAAUAGAGAUGUUUUUUCAGCUCUGAUUAUUUUCCCUAAAGGAAUGAUCCUCCACCUGGCUAGAGGAAUGCUUCUGGCACAGGAACUAUCCAGGUUGUGAAAACUCUUCUGCGAUGAAAAGCAAAGCCCUAGGAUAAGCACAGGCCCUCCGACCGGGGAAGCAGCAGCCACAGGUGUCAGGGCUCCGAGGUCUGCUCCUUAGUCACCACUAAAGCAUGGGGUGAAGGGCACAUGCUUUGGAACCAGCCUAGGUUUGAGUGCCAGCCCUGCUUUCUGUCUCUCCCUUGACCUGAGAUCUCACCAGACACUAGCUCGUCAUCGGUAAAACUAGGGAUAAGAAUGAGUCCUAGCUGGUACACUGUUGUGAGGAAUCAAUGAAGGAAUGCACACAAAGCACCCAGCACAGGCCCCCACACAUAAGCACUCCAUAAACGUCAACUACUAUUAGCUAUCUAGUAAUGGAAAAGCACAAUGGUCUGGUAUCUUUAAGUCCUUUAGCUUCCCCAAAAAGAGGGUUUUUUUCCUACAAAAGUAUCAAUGAAAUGUAAUAUAAGAAGGAAAACUCAUUUCAAGUCCAGCUCAGACAGCAACACACCUGCAACUUAGAACAAUGAUCACCUCCAUCUAUAAAAUGGAAAUAAUACACUGCACUAAGCUUUGAUGACCUCAGACACAAGUAAGAAUCAAUGAGAUAAUAGGCGAUGAAAAAGCUUUCACUUCUUCAAAGAAAAAGCAAUAAGUAAAUCCAGAGUGUGAUUAUUAUUAAAAUGUCACACCCAAUAUUAAGGGACAUAAAAAAACCAGUGACAUUUCUUACUCUUUCAAGAACAUUAGGUUUGAUAGCCUUUUAAUCUGUUCACAUGGAGCCUGCUACAAGUAGGAGGAGGGAAAUGGCUGCUCCUUGCAAAGCUCAGUUUACCUGCAAAGCCCAUCAAAUCUGAGUCUGCCCCUGCCUGCUGGUCAGGCCUCACCAUCCUGGGCCGUUUCUCAGAUGCCAGUGCCACGAGCAAUCAGGAGAGCUUCCUGGUUCCACUUGGACAGUUAACCAACAGCAACCAAAAUCCUCACCCACGGGACUACUCAACAGGCUCAAGAAAGGGUUGAUUCUGAUCAUUUGCUCUUCUGUACUGACUGCUGUAAGACUUCUUCUAAGGUACACACCAUUCUUUCUGAAAAAAUGCAACACAAGAACCAGGCAGAGCUCAAUUUUUCCUUGUUGGAUGUUUACUUCUAGGUCUAGAGGUUUGAGUUUCUUCCUUUUUUUUUUUCCAACACUUUUUGGUGAGGAAGAUUGGCCCUGAGCUCACAUCUGCUGCCAAUCUUCCUUUUUUUUUCUCUCCCCAAAGCCCCAGUACAUAGUUGCAUAUCCCAGUUGCAAGUCAUUCUGCCUCUUCCAUGGGGGACAUCUCCAAGCGUGACUUGAUGAGUGGUAAGUCUGUGCCCAGGAUCCGAACCAGCAAACCCUGGGCCACCAAAGCGGAGCGUGCAAACUUAACCAAAUGGCCACGGGGCCAGCCCCUUGAGUUUCAUUUUUAAUCUAUCAUAACAACUUCAGGAUGAGAGCUACAGGUUAAGGUGGGAAGAGGAUGGAGGAGCAGUAAUCUUCCCAAGUCAAGAAGGGACGUGCAAUCAAAACUGCAUCCAGGGCUGGCCCGGUGGCGCAGCAGUUAAGUCCCCACAUUCCGCUUUGGCGGCCCGGGGUUCGCCAGUUCAGAUCCCGGGUGCGGACAUGGCACCGCUUGGCAAGUCAUGCUGUGGUAGGCGUCCCACAUAUAAGGUAGAGGAAGAUGGGCACGGAUGUUAGCUCAGGGCCAGUCUUCCUCAGCAAAAAGAAGAUUGGCAGCAGAUGUUAGGUCAGGGCAAAUCUUCCUCAAGAAAAAUUUUUUUAAAAAACUGCAUCCAAUUUCAUCACCCACAGGUCUCCCAAACCCAAAGAGAAAAGAAAUUUACCUAUGUUUAUUAAAGAUCCACUAUGUGCCAAGCACUGCACUAACUGCUUUAUAGACAUCACUCCAAGCCCAUUUUCUCUCCCACCCCCAGAAAUAGCAUGAAAAAGCAGUCAGCGGAUGGGAACCAUGGUGGGGGGGGGAGGGAUCGCAAUCUGGUAGUCAAGCUCUAGACGUGUCAAAGGUUAGCAGUGUGAACACAAAAAGGAGUCCUGGCUAAGAACCAGGUCCAAGUUCCUAAAGAUUCUUUGCAAGAGGAACACCCAACCUAUGUUUUUCCUAUAAUUCUGGAAUUACCUCACGCUACUAUCAAAAAAGUUUAAAAAUUUUUUAAACCUGGAGCGUAAGAACAACUCACUGUAGGGCUAAACAACCUGAGCCAAAUUGCUGCUCCGAGGGCAUGUGACCAUCAAAUGUGGAAUUUACAAUAUCCUCCUCACAGCUCUUUACAGAUGUGCUCACAGGCAAAAGCAACCACAACAAUGAACCGGCCUCUGUGUGGCCAGGUAAUCAGAGGACAGGGCCUUCCCACCGGCAGCAGCAAAUCGAAAGAAGAUGUCUUUCUCACCAUAGAACCAUCUCUCUCCCACCGCUGGGGUAUAAGCCGUCAUCCUAAACGACUGUCUACAUAGCAAACUGUCACAGGGGUCCAAAUACAUACUGGUGUUCUGAUGUUUAAAUGCCAUUCUCUCCAUCCACAUCCCACUAAAAAAGAAAAAAGUAAUAUGCCUUAAAAAAAAGACACUAUUGACAAUUCACCUCCAUUCCUCUGCAUUGACCCACUUCAUGUAAACCAUAAUUAAUGUCUGCGUUAAACAGCACCGUUAAAAGAAUAUAAAUGUGGUUUGUAUUCCUCCAGACGCUCUCCCUGAAUUAAGACUCUGGAGAAAAACCAGCCCAGAUAUCGGCCUACCGCUGUCCUUUAACGAGAUGAGGUACAGAGGCCUUGCCUGAGGGGCCCGACAAACCGCCGUGAGGACUCGUUUACCACGCAUGCCGCCCCUGCAGAGCCAGGGCUGUCCCCACGUCUGGCCUUCUGCUAACCCAGGCAACCCUCCUCGUGUUCAGGGACCCUCGAGACGAGUGGGAGACCGGGAAUUUCCAGCGGACCGCGCAGACCUCCAACAGCGCGAUCACCUUGUAAGGCAGUUAGGAAGGGGCGGCUCGCAGAUAACUGACGUCACCGCACCCAGGCCACCACCAUCGCAGCAAUAGAUAUAAAAGGAAAAAGCACUUCAGGGUUCUCUCGUGGCCGCCCGCCCACAGCGACCUCAGCAACCCAAACUCGGCCACGCCAGACUCCAGACCACGGACUCAGGACCGGAUCUACCCGCGGAGGCCGGACGGGCGCGCACGGGGCGACGGAGGGGCCCGACGCCGCCCGAGGGGGCCGGGCGGGCGCACCCAUCCUCCGGCCUCGAACCCCGGAUGAGGCGCGAGAUCUUCGCCGCCGCAGACGCGGGCAGCCUCGCGGGAACUCGGGCGCGCCCGCCCCCGACCGAACGCCCACCCUGGAGGUCAAGGACGGGGCCCGGGCCCGGGCAGCGCCAGGAGGGGCUGCCCGCUGGCACCGCGAGGGGAAGGGCUGGAAGGAGCCGCUAGGAGGAGGCGCCGGGCGCGCGCGGCGGGUCCUCGGCGGGAGGUCUUCAGCCACAGGUCGGGUCGCGGCGGUGACCCGCUCGGAGCUGCCGCCGGGGCCAGCUGGGCGCCGGGCCACCCCGCGCUCGCGACGCCUGCGGGAUGCGCGCCCGCCGGGCGGCUGGGGCCGGGCAGGUCCCGUGUCCUGUCCUCACCUCCGCCUCAUGCUGGCGUGUCCCGGCGCCGGCGUCCCCGGGGCCGCCCCGGGUCCCGCUCCGGGCCCGCAGCCCCGAGCCCCGCAGCCCCGCAGCGUCCGGCGCGGACACAGCAGAGGCAGCUGCCGGAGCCGCGUCGCCGCGGGAGGCUGGGCGGGCACAUGGGAGGGCGGAGCUGCGGCCCUGGAGACCGACCACAGGACCCCAGCCUCGGGGGCGACAGACCUAAGCGCGCCUCCAGAGCCGGCGCGCAGCGCCCGUCCUCAGCGCCGCCGUCCUACCUGCGGGCUCAGAGUCUGCCAGAGUCUCAUGGUUGCAGGCGAAAGCCUCAAAACAACCUUGUGAGAAGGGCUAGGAGCAGCUUGUUUACGGAUGAGGAAGAAAACUACAGCUCAGAGAGGCUGACCAAUUGGCUGCAGUAACAAGGAGGUUUGUUCACCCAAACGAAGACUUGAUGGUACUCACCGAUUAGGGCUUCAAAAGGCAUCUCCUGCAUGAGUGAGAAACGCUGGACUCCGGGGUCCGCCGGUCCUCAGUACACAGGUGCUGCUGCUAUGGCUGCACACAUCCCAGCGCUGCACACGCCACCUUCCGGCUGGACGACCACCACCAGAGGAGAGCAUCGGGAGGCUCCAAGCCAUGAAUGUGAGGAGUGGAACUGACAGCAUCAGGGCUGUGCUCAGAGGUGGCCCCUGGUCAUCAACUGGAGUCCCUCCAUCACACCACUCUGCGUUAGUGUCUGUGCCACCUACGAAUCUGCAGGUGUUUUGCUCCAGUUCUAGAAUAAGAGAAGGGGAUACAUUUUUACUGAGCCCUGACAACGUGCCUGGGCUUUUCAUGAGUUAUUUCAUUUAAUCCUCCUGUCGAGCUCUGAGAUUUUAUAUCACUGUUUUAUAAAUUAAGAACAUAAGAGCAUAGGGGCCCCGCCCGGUGGCGCAGCAGUUAAGUGUGCACGUUCCGCUUCUCGGUGGCCCGGGGUUCGCCGGUUUGGAUCCCGGGUCUGCACAGGGCACCGCUUGGCAAGCCAUGCUGUGGCAGGUGUCCCACAUAUAAAGUAGAGGAAGAUGGGCAUGGAUGUGAGCUCAGGGCUAAUCUUCCUGAAAAAAAAAAAAAGAAGAAGAACAUAAGAGCAUAAAGAAUAAGUUACUUGCUUGUGUAAGGCUGUUCAGCUGGGUAAGUGGUAAAGCUGGAAUUCCUACCCAGUUCUGUUUGAUGUGAUAGCUGAAGGCACCAGGCCAUCUGGGUAUGGCUCAAAUGGAUAUUAGGGAAAACUUCCUGGAACGUCCGGAAUCACUGAUAAUUUCUCCCACCUCUCAUCUUCUGAUUUUAUCUAUUUCCACUGUUUUGUUUAAAAACAAAUUCAUAUGUUGAAAUCUAAUCCCCAAUUGAUGGUAUUUGAAGGUGGGGCUUUCGGAAGGUGAUUAGGUCCUAAGGGCCGAUUACUCAUGAAUGGGAUUAGAGCCCUUACAAAAGAGACCCCAAGAGCUGCCUCACCCCUUCUGCCUUGAGAGGACACAGUGGGAAGACUACUGCCUUUGUGCCUCACCAAGGCUGAACCUGCCAGCGCCUUGGCCGUAGACUUCCCAGCCCCCAGCAGUGGGAGAAAAAAAUUUCUAUUGUUUAUAAACUGCCAGUCUGUGGUGCUCUGUUAUAGCAGCCUGAAGGGACUAAGACAGAGGAUACAUAUAUAUACACACAUAAAAUUGUAUCCUGCUUUUCAUUUUAAAAACCUUGUGAAAAUUUUCUCCUCCAUUAAGUUUCUUUAAAAACAUUCUUCUAGGGGCCGGGGCCCCAUGGCCGAGUGGUUAAGUUCGUAUGCUCCGCUUCGGCAGCCUGGGGUUUCGCUGGUUUGGAUCCUGGGUGCAGACAUGGCACCGCUCAUCAGGCCACGCUGAGGUGGCGUCCCACAUGCCACAACUAGAAGGACCCACAGCUACAAUAUACAACUAUGUAUCGGGGGGCUUUGGGGAGAAGAAGAAAAAAAUAAAAAACAUUAUUUUAGGGAGCCAGCUCCAUGGCCAAGUGGUUAAGUUCGUGCAUUCUGCUCUGGCUGCCUGGGGUUCACAGGUUCGGAUCCUGGGCGUGGACCUACCCACUGCUCAUCAUGCCAUGGUGUGCUGGCAUCUCGCAUAGAGGAACUAGAAUGACCUACAACGAGGAUAUACAACUAUAUACUGGGGCUUUAGGGAGAAUUAAAAAAGAGGAAGAUUGGUGACAGAUAUUAGCUCAGAGCCAAUCUCCAAAAAAA